Acanthopagrus latus (yellowfin seabream) is the source of this 4405-nucleotide long non-coding RNA. RefSeq lists it as uncharacterized. NCBI's taxonomy places the organism in Eukaryota, Metazoa, Chordata, Actinopteri, Spariformes, Sparidae. The record is from RefSeq and is a predicted model, not a curated record. The transcript is spliced from 5 exons.
ACACGUGGAUACACGAAGAAGAGACGUUGGUGUAACAGGUGGGGACCUCCGGCCGGGUGUCCUGGCUGCGCAGCCUCUGGAGAAAAUGUGCAUUUGCAUUUCCAGUGACCGAUGGAAAUUGUGUUUGGCCUGCUGGCACAAGCAGCUCUGCCCACACAAAGGAAGAGAGCUGAUCUCCAGCGUAUCAUUGGAUAAUUGGUUUCCACUGUCAGUUCAGAGGAUUGACGUGCACGUGUCAGUCCCCCGACUGAUGAUGUGCGCCAACAUGUGUGGCUCAGUGCAUGUAGAAGAGACAGAAAAAGCGAAGGAGGCGGUUCAGCAAUAACACAGGAUCGGGGUGUUUUCGUCUGGCGUGCAUGUGACCAUAGACGUGUAUUUAAGCCUGGCUGUCAGAAACACAUUACGUCUGCUGCAGGGAGGAGUUGUGGUGUAGCCGGGCCAUUAGGUUGCCGCAGAGUGAGUAAAAGAAAACAGACGGGCUAAACUGCUCGGGGCAAUAAUGGAGGGUACGUGCUAGUGUUCCUGAAGGGUACAAACUGUACUAUCCGUGAAAAUUGGCACCGAGUACAAUGAAAGAAGGGAAAGACGUGCGUCAGACUGCCUGAAGGAGGGGGUACCACAGCAUCACAUGCCACUUGACCCUCGUUUCAUCAAAGUGCAACAGAAAGAGCUGUCCCCUCCUAAUGCCUCACACUUCAUGGACAGGGGGACAUGCCGUGACUGAAAAUGACUCUUCAGGACCUUUUUAUUGUCAAAGCUGAACAUUUCUGCUACUAUGAGAUUUUAGUUUUAUCACAGAUAACUUAAAUGGACAUGGUUUAAUUUGUAUAUGCUCUGUCUAUGUUGGAUACUCUGAGGGACAGUCCCUGCAUGAAUAUUUUCAAUGAAGCCAGUCUCCUCUGUGGCAGAUUCCAUUUGUGUGACGCAGACAUAGCUAUACAACGAAACCUGUGUCAAGGUGCUCCCUGCUGCAUCAAAAUCUCCAGCCCGAGCCUCUGCUGCGUAAAGGGCAGAUAAAGGCUUCAGUACAUUCACUCAGCAGACCUCCGGGCUCUCAAGCACCUGGAAGGGUGAAUUAAUGCGGUUCACGGGACUGGAAAGUGGGUCAAGCUCCAGUGCUUUUUGCAGCCAUCUCGGCUCACUGUAGACAUUCAGUUAUACAAGCAGAUCUAUUGUUAUUGACCGUGAUGAGGACAAGAUGCUGCCGAGCUUCCAGGGGAGAAGAAGGGCAGCACAGGAAUCUGGAGCUGCUAUAGAAAUAAGGGAAAAUAUGCAGGGGGAUAUGAUAUCUGUGUGUAUAUGUAUGUGUGUGUCUGUGUGUGAUAGGGGGUUGAUUUCCAAUGGCGUGCAGAUUUCUGAUACACUACCCGUGAGGCCACUUAAAUGCUUGUGGAAAUUAGUUUGUAGCGCGACAUCUUUUUCUGCCUGUUUCUUCAUUUCGUUCCUCCCAAGAGCCACUGUCGAUUCACUUUUUAUUAUCCUGUAAAGAACAGUUACAAACACCCACGAUCGCACACGACCUGAUAUCAUAACAAACCUGGGAAUGAUAAGUUACGAAAACUAGGUCAGCGCUUUAAAUAACCUGACACUAUUAUGCGCCGAAUCUCUGACCUGUCAGAAAAGUCAGUGUUUGUAUAAACACUUGUCACGCUUUCCAUUUAGGCCACUGUGCAGUAACCUGAAUGCAUUAUGAGUGGCCCGCAUGAUGAUGUGCACUCACAUUAUAUACAAAGCGGCAGACAUAAUUUCCAGGGCUGCCUGCAUUAGAUGGCCACGGUGAACUCUUCUACUCCCCGCUUUGUGCAACGAGAACAAUGUGGCUAUUGUGCCAUUGUCGCCGUCGCGACCACAAGUGAAAGUGUUUGUCGAACAGAACAGGUGCAUUUCAGGUUCGAACAGGGCCGUCACGUGAAUGAAGAUUUCUGUGGUUCUUUUUUAGGAAUUCGUUAUUGUGAAAUAUAUUGUUUGACUUUCUGUUCGGAUUUGAAAUUCUCAGAAUCACAAAAUGGCACAGUUUGAGUAGCUUGGAUAAUGGGAGAUGUGGGGCACUGAACUUGAUGAAUGUGAUUACUGUGCUACAUAAAACUUAAUAACUUGUACUGAAACACAAUUUUAUGACAUUAUUCACUUAUUUUGAUUAAAUUUGAUCUGUACUGAGGAAAAAAAACUCAGAGGAUUUGCAACAGAGUUUCCUGAUGGAGCUUUACGCAGCUUUACUGUCAAUUGUUUCUCAGCCAGUUAGCUGUCAGCUUGUGGUCAUAUACACAAAUUACACUGUUUGUAUUUGUACAUAGUAUGUAUAUACAAGUCUAUUUGUAUAUCUUCCUGUUUUAUGAUAUUGUUAAUUUUUUACUAUUAUCAUUGUUUAUUGUAGUAUUACUGUCCUUUGGCUGCUGGGACGCUCACAUUUCCCCGUUUGCAGGACCGAUAAAGGAAUUCUGAUUCUGAUUGUGACAUCGGAGAAACGUUACCACAUGAUGAUCCAAAUCAAAAUCCUGGUUGUAGCCACUGUUUGAGAUGGUUUCAUUUUAUUUCUACCAAGACUGCUGCGCCUUGUCCCGCCCUGCUGCGCUGUGAUUGGCUUUGAAUAUCAGUCCUGUGAUUUUCACAAUGAAGCAGAAGGCAUUAAAAACAAGGAAAAGAAAAUACAAAAAUAAAUCAGUUUGUGGAAAUAAAUGGGGGGAAAUCUAUUGUCUAUAGUCCAAACAUUCAUUUUUAAUGUUAUUUUUGGUGCAUUUAAUGGUGUAAAUGUGUAUUUAUUGAGCGAGUUAUUUAUUUUUUUAAUUUGGCAUUUUCACUCCUCCAUACAAGGGAGUUCUGGAAUAGAAACUGUAUGGGAAAUGUAUGAAAAGUAUGUGCAUUAUAUUUACAUUGAUAUAAACACAUAUUUGUCCAGCAUACGAUGUGUUGGAUUACAUUUAUGAAGGACUAAAGAGAGUAGACUAAUAGAUGAUGACAAAGAUUAUGAUGAUUAUGAUGAUGAAGAAGAAGAGUGUAACGCUGCCUUCCAUGGUGCCUUCUUAAGUAUGCAGAUUUAUAAGCAAUUUUAUAAUCCAUUAAGUAAAUUAAAGAGCAGCAAUGUCAACCAUCAAUUACUUCCUUCCACCUUUUAAAAUGUGAGGAUUUUAUGUUUGUCUCUGUUUUGUAUCAUUUUUAUCUGUAAAACCUUUGUUUGUUUUUAACUGUUGGACAAAACAAGCACUUUAAAAACACCAUUCUGGGCUCUGGAAAAAUCUGAUUUUGCAGUGUUUACUACUUUGCAGUUUUUUUUACUACAGAAACAUGUUGACAUUGGAAGCCAACAUUGUGUUUUAAGGCAUUAAAUCAAAAGAGUUUGUAACACUCUGUCAGGUUGUGCAAUAACAACUUGAACAGUUUUGAAGAGCAGGGGGGGGAAAUACAGCUCCCAGAUAUAGAAAGCUGAUAAAGGCAAAUCCAUGCUGGCUGACUCAAGGCUGCCAAGGUUGCAUCAGUUUAAUAUUGUUUUUGAGGUGUUGUAACAAGUAUGUUCUAUUUUAUAUGUGGAAUUCAUAUCAGUCACUUUGCUGGGAUCUGUUUCCACUUUUAUAUUAAAACACUUCAUUAAAUCAGUUUUGUUUGACUUCCAACUUCCAAGGAGGGUCAGUACCUUUCAUAAGCUCUGUAUUUUCUGAGCUUUUUCAAACACUAAACAAUAAAUCAACUUAUUGAAAAGAAUAGAAUACUUGAUAAUGAACAUGCACAAUAGUUUCUUUGUGUUUACUUGUGUAAUUGAGAAAACGAAAUGCUUCCAAAAUGUGCGUCCUCUUGUAGAAUUUCUUAAACCACAGAUGACACAGAAAACAGACUGCCAGCGUGCCAACGUGUCGGCACAGCGUGUGAGCCAGAACAAAGUGCCAUUACCCAGCAUGCCCUGUUCAUCUGUAUACAGAAGUAUUGUACAUGUAAACUACAGUCCAGAUGAGUGCGUCUGGAACAGUUUGUACCAGGAACCAAUAAGCAUGCCAACGUUUUUUGCUUUUUGUGUGUGUAAUAAUUCACUCCCCCUCUUCUUCUCCAUCCAGCUCUCUCUGUUCUGGACAAGUUCAUAGAGUUGUUACGCUGUUGAUGAAACACAGGAAGUGUUUAUUAUAUUAGUUUUGAGUGUUCUGGGAAACCCCAUGAGUGCAAAAUGAGAGGUAACUACACUAGGCUGUUAACUCUACAAGGUUUCAUCUGACUGGGGAAGUUAAUCAUGAUUACACCAAUAAAGUUGAAUUGAUGAGAGCAUCCGUGUUCUGGAGGCGUGUUGUACUGACUGACAUAAAAACAAAUCUGCUCUUAUGACCAUACACUUGUUUUUCUUUUUCCCUGAAGUGCUUUUUUUCCUCAUGAGACUUUGACUGGCAGUAGUUUAACUCACCUAACACAUCUUCCUGUUUGGCAA